This 253-nucleotide ribosomal RNA is filed under the name uncultured bacterium. Its description in RNAcentral is "partial 16S ribosomal RNA". It matches the Rfam family "Bacterial small subunit ribosomal RNA", at positions 524 to 776 of the family's 1533-position model. The record is from RNAcentral.
UACGGGGGGGGCAAGCGUUGUCCGGAAUUACUGGGCGUAAAGGGCGCGUAGGCGGCUCGCUAAGUCGGGUGUGAAAACUCUGGGCUCAACCCAGAGCCUGCAUUCGAAACUGACGAGCUAGAGUUCUGGAGGGGAAAGCGGAAUUCCUGGUGUAGCGGUGAAAUGCGUAGAUAUCAGGAGGAACACCGGUGGCGAAGGCGGUUUUCUGGACAGAAACUGACGCUGAUGCGCGAAAGCUAGGGGAGCAAACAGG